GGAGAAAUUAAUAGUUACUGGACAAACAAAAUGAAGAUUGCUUGGAAAAGACCUAAGACUUUUGCAGCCCUCAAAAGACAACGCACUGAGAUACUUGAAAUUCUGGAUAGAUGAGGGAACACAAGCCUUUUCUCCUUCCCAAGGUUGCUCAACUUUACUAAGGUAUUCUGACACAUCAUGUCAGUACCACGGUUUGGUAAAACUAUCAAUUUACCACCAAACGUUUAAACUGUUAGCAUUUUCCCACCAUUCCGUUAAAACUCAGUUAAUAUGUAACGGAAAAUUUCUAAAAAGUCAAUUUUACCCCUGGAGCAUAAAAGACCAUAUAAUUAACUUUUUAUGAAUUUUGUAAUUAAAUCAUCAUUUGUUGUUCUUCCUUCUUAAAGGACAAAAAUUACCCUUUAUAAAUUUUAUAAAAUUGGCCGUGUAGUGCUAGGUACUUCAUAAAUUAAUUUAAUUUUUAAAGGGCAAAUUUAUUUAUUAAAUUGAUGAGCUCAAGACAAUUUAUUCUACUACUAAAAAUCAAUUUAUGAAAGGGAAAAAAAAAAGAAUGUGCAAACGAAGUAAUUUAAUCUUUGAUAUGAUGAUAAUAAUUUUACACAAAAAAUUAAAUAAAUAAAUUUUCCCUUUAAAAAUUAAAUAAAUUAAAUCAAUUUAUGAAGUACCAAAUACCACACGGUCAAUUUUACAAAAUUCAUAAAUGGUAAUUUUUGUCGUUUAAGAAUAAAGAAUAACAAAUGAUGAUUUAAUUACAAAAUUCAUAAAAGGUUAAUUAUAUGGUCUUUUAUGCUCAGGGGUAAAAUUGACCUUUUAGGAAUUUUCCGUUAGACUCCGCAACGUUUUAUCUUCUGACCCUUUUGGUUACGCUCAGCGAAGAACUUCAAUGUGGCAGUUGCACGAUGGUAACCAUCAGGAAACCCAACAUUCAAGCAAGGUUUAAAACCAAGUAUGACAUGAUCUGAAUCAAUGAGUUCUUCAAUAAAGAGCGAAUUGUAACCCAGAUCAACAUGUUUGGUUUCAGAGAGAGUCUCUAUUUCUAAGUCGAAUUGACACUUGACGUAAAAAAAACGAAAACAAUCAGAAUCAACUUGCUUUAAAUCAGGAACAGCACAAAAAGCAAACCCGAUUAAGUUUCUGCAAAAAGAGUGCGGUGGCAGUUGAAUACAUAUCGAAGAUCCUGAACUUUGAUUGCUGAACCAGUCAGGAAUUUCGCUCCCAGGUAAAACAAUUAGGGAUCCCCUGAGUUCAGAAAGUUUCUGUGAAAUGACAUUUAAAAAAUGAAAAUUGUAAGAUGAAAACCAUGAUUUCAGAUAUAACAAAGAGGGACAGAGUAAACAAGAGAGGGAAUUUGAUACCUCGUUGAUUGCCUUUUCAUAGCCCAGUCUCAGUGAUGCAAUUGCCAUAUGCCGAAUUCUUAGUUGUGAAUCUGCCAAAAUCUUGUUGUUUGCUUUUCCAUUCAGUUUCAAGCAGUUAGUAAACCCAAAAUAAAUUGGUUGUGACUCCAGACAUCCCGGUGCCCAUUGACGAAGGUCAGGAGAGGGUUUCGAUAGCUUUUCGAGUACGGAUGCAUCUAGUUCUUGUAGACAUGACGGAAUCUCUGGCAAAGAUUGGAGCCGGUUGCAGUUCCUUGCAUUUAGUGAUUGUAGACACAAUGAAAGUUCUGGUAAUGACCGAAGCAUGUUACAAUCCUCCAAGUUAAGAUAUUUUAGACACAAUGGAAGUUCUGGUAUUGACCGAAGCAUGUUACAACCCGUCAAGGCAAGAGAUUCUAGACACAAUGGAAGUGCUGGUAAUGACUGAAGCAUCUUACAAUCCGUCAAGUCAAGAGAUGUUAGGCACAAUGGAAGUUCUGGUAAUGACUGAAGCAUCUUACAAUUCUUCAAGUCAAGAGAACUCAACUGCGACAGUUGCUUGAUACUUGCAGGUAAACUCUCAAAGUUAUUUCCACUUAGAUGCAAGCCUGUCAGUGAGGAUAGACAGGCAAUCUCUUGUGGAAUUUCCAUUACAGCACAGUCACUUAUAUCUAGAAGUCCCAAAGAAGAUAAACCUAAUAAUAAUGAUCGAGGCAAUGAUGCCAAACCUUUGCAGCUAGAGAAAGAAAGAAUUCCAAGUACGUUUGAAUCUGUAACAGAGGAUGGUAGUUGACUAAUAGCUGAUUUAGCUGCUGAGAUGUAAUACAAAGAUUCUAAAUUGCCAAUGUUAUCCGGCAACUUAUCAAGUUUAGAGCAACCAUUUAUGAACAAUGAUUCAAGCCCCGGUAGAUUUUCAAAUGACGAUGGCAGCUCUGUAAUUGCCGUCCGGUCUAAAUAGAUGCGUUUUAAAUGUUCCAUUUUCUCCAAGAUUUCUGGGAAACGCUCAAGAUUCAAGCAGCCAAGAAGAAUAAGCCGAACCAAAGAUCUCAAUUUACAAAACCUAGUUGAAAUCCUCUUCAGCCGUCUGCAAUCCCUCAAAUCCAACUUUUCAAGAUCAGUUAGGCACUCUAUUGAUGAUGGAACUUCUUCUAUUGCAGACUGGCCUAAGUAUAGCCGUGUAAUUUUCCCAGAAAUCUGUGGAAACUCUAUGAGAUUAACACAAGAGGAGAAAUUAAUAGUUACUGGACAAACAAAAUGAAGAUUGCUUGGAAAAGACCUAAGACUUUUGCAGCCCUUAAAAGACAACGCACUGAGAAACUUGAAAUUCUGGAUAGAUGAGGGAACACAAGCCUUUUCUCCUUCCCAAGGUUGCUCAACUUUACUAAAACGCAAAUUCAGUUCAACAAGGUUCUUUGGCUUGAAAUUUGAUGGCAGUGUCCUUAAUGGAUAUGUGUCCCAAUGAAGAUAUCUCAAUUUUUUAGGAAGAUAAUAUAGGCCUUUUGGAAGCUGCACUUUAGAGUAUGAAAGUUGCUCUUCAAUACUCAUACUUAGAAGCUUUUCAAUCCCAUAAAACUUAG
This 2929-nucleotide long non-coding RNA is filed under the name Citrus sinensis (sweet orange). RNAcentral's name for it is "long non-coding RNA (CSIN_LNC004566)". Lineage: Eukaryota; Viridiplantae; Streptophyta; Magnoliopsida; Sapindales; Rutaceae. The record is from RNAcentral.